GGCACUUGUAAGCUUGAAAUGUACACCAGAAAAAACCUGACUGCACAGUAUCCAAUUAUUGACCUGACACAUUUGAAAUCUCUUUUGCAAUUCAGAAAUGUUUCCCCCAUAAAUAAGUGCAAGUGGUUUCGAUACACUUGUAGUUUUUGUUGACAACCUACCCAUGUUCCAUUCUCAGCCAAUUAAGAAAGCCUAUAGAUUUCAUGGGGUUAAGUGUGCUGUUUAUAACACAAAAGAAUAAUGCCGGAUUUAGCAGCACAAGAGCCUAAAUCAAUCUAAAAUUGCAGUGCAAUCUAAGCACCACAGUAGCCUCUAUUCAAUUAAAGUCCAUUCGCCAUGCUAGAUUAAUGCCAAGAAAUGGCAAUAAGCUAAAACCACAUGGAAAAGAAAAUGUGUCAAUACUAUUAUACUUUCGCAGACAUGGAACUUUAGUUUUUCAUUAUAGCUUGACUGAACCAGGGCCGCCGUUCUAUCCCAUAACACUUUUUAUGUUCCCAAAGGAGAUUGCAGACUACAUGCCCAAGAGGAAUAUAGAGUAACUCUGACACGUAUCUAGCAGCCUGGUCUCAUAGUGGCGGCAGAUGUGUGAACCUCAUGAUGUGAAUGAUCUCCGGCAGCACCUGGUACUCCCAUGGAUAAAUGUGGUGCAUUAAAAGGACGAUGGCAGGAGAUUCUCGGAAAAAGAUUUACAGCUAUCAAUCACGCCUUAAUGCCCUGAAUCAGAGAUGUGAAGGGCGACCUCAUUAAUGAGGAACCAAUCAAGAUUUGACAGGUAGCAUAUUUUAGAUGAUUCAUUUGAAAUAGUGUGUGUUUCAAAAAAUGACUGACUGUUUCUGACUUUUUGUAUUGCCUUUUGUUCCUCUUUCUACAGUGAAGCUUAGACACAGAACUCUGAAAGAGAAUGAUGACCCCUGGGAAGAGAAUUUGGCUGCCCUUGUGCUGAUGCAGUGCUGAAUCAUGAUCCCUGCCCGGUCUUUCCGCAUGGAGCCCAGGCACCAUGACAAUAAGAUAGCGUCGUCAGCUCAGACAUCUAGUUUUCAAGUGCAAGUCCACUACCUGGAGGGCCAGGAUGUUCGAGAGAUGAAAACAUGGACAAAACAAUACAUGAUGUGGAGAGAAUUAUCUGGCCACUGUGGGAAGCAGAAAGAAACAACACAACAAGAUCAACAAAUGUUCAAGUCACUUCCUCUGCGCCAGGAACUUUUCCUGAUGUGAAGGGUGAGAUUAUGGUUAAGCGCAAAUGUGUUCUGUCGAACUGUGAUGGGCAGGUUGCUGCAAACAGCAAUUUAAGUCAUGGUUUCUGAUAGGGAGCUGGGAAAAGCAGGAAAGUUUUUGACAAUUUUCACUUUUGGUAAUAGUUUGGUUGGGAUAAAAUUGUGAGAGUCAAAGUGAGCACUCAUGGAUACACAUGAAAUACAUAUUAAUGUUCCGCUGUUAAUAUGUGUGAGGGUUAAGCAAAACUCAGGAUGAAUUUUUGAAAUGUCAUGGAUUGUAUGGUCAAGAAUCAUUUGCACACAUCUGCAGCCAAAACUAAACUAAAGUUUACUUGGCUGAUUUACUCUACGUGCAGUGAUUACAGAUUAAUCAUCAGACAAACACUGAGCCACAAAUCACCUUGAAUGAAAAGCAUGAACCAGCAAAACUGUGCAAGAAAGAGUGAAUGAGAGAACACAUUACAAUAAAAUCCAAAUGUCACUUCA
Cyprinus carpio (common carp) is the source of this 1700-nucleotide long non-coding RNA. The record is from Ensembl. Lineage: Eukaryota; Metazoa; Chordata; Actinopteri; Cypriniformes; Cyprinidae.